RNAcentral lists this long non-coding RNA (594 nucleotides) under Anas zonorhyncha (Eastern spot-billed duck). RNAcentral's name for it is "lncRNA (ENSAZOG00000008032.1)". Lineage: Eukaryota; Metazoa; Chordata; Aves; Anseriformes; Anatidae. The record is from RNAcentral.
UAAAAAAAAAAGAAAAAAAAAAGGGGGGGGGGGNNNNNNNNNNGUUGCUUCCUGAGCCUUUCACACAUUUGAAUGGUGAAAGAGUUCUGGUUACUUGAGGUCAGAAGUCCUGGUCUGGGACUGUUUGAACGGAGAGACGAGUUGGACAAAAAAUUUUAAAGGAGUAGCCUAAGCAAAUUUGAAAGCAAAGAGCAAAUAUGCUAUGAGGUCUGCAUUACGGAUCACCAAGAUCAAGUAGCUUCGUGUGAGAUCUGAAGGAAUCUCUGAGCCUGUGACCUUUGCAACUGCUUCCCCAGACUCAGCGGUGCCUUGAGGUGGCAGGUGUGCUCCAUGGUUAAAGAUUUCUUGGCAGCUAACUCUGAAAACUGCUAACCAUGUACAAGAAAAAAUGUUCUGAUGAGUGAUGGUGGAACAUGUGAGGAACAUAGACAAGAAAGAAGAGAUCAGCGGUUGAAUAUACUUUUAAAAAAUCAUGAAAUUUUAAGCACACCAGCUGGAUUGGAGCCAACUAAUAACGAACUUCAGUGGAAGGGGUCUGAAAGCUUCCCAGUGAUCACAGGAACAGGCAGAGCAGCAGUUGAUCUGAUGAGGUGA